UGAACUCGAGAGGAGACAUCUCUCAGAGUUGCAAUUAGUACCUAAAGCCAUAAGCCAUCAUCAACAGUAUUUUGACUACUCAAUGGAUGAGUUCAAGCUUUCAGAAGGUUUUUCAAUCUUUACUUUCACUAAACAAUUUUAUUAUUGUUAUUAUUAUUAUUAUUAUUAAUCUAGCUAUGCCUUUUCUUUUGGUGUUUAUAUGAAAUCUUUAUUUCUAUAUCCUUCUUGUUUGAUGUUUCUUCUUUUUCUUUUCUUGACACUGCAGCACGUGCAGAACAGACGGAGCUCCCAUCUGCUGACGGUUUCAAUUAUCUGCUAGACGUGCUCAACAACGGUUCUAACAAAAACGUUAGGCGUAUAAAUACAAAAUACAAUGACCAGGAGAGCAGUCAAGGACUUAAUCUUCCAGAUAGUCCAUUCACAACUCCAAUAGGGAGCGGCAUUUCAACAGUAACAUAGAUUCAGAAACAAAGAAGAAAUAAAGGAGAUAGGGAGUAACCAAAGUUCAAGAUCAUUUCAAAGGUUGGAUACAAAACAAAG
This is a non-coding RNA of Camellia sinensis, 540 nucleotides long. NCBI's taxonomy places the organism in Eukaryota, Viridiplantae, Streptophyta, Magnoliopsida, Ericales, Theaceae. The record is from RefSeq and is a predicted model, not a curated record.